This 497-nucleotide ribosomal RNA is filed under the name uncultured bacterium. Its description in RNAcentral is "partial 16S ribosomal RNA". It matches the Rfam family "Bacterial small subunit ribosomal RNA", at positions 28 to 507 of the family's 1533-position model. The record is from RNAcentral.
GGUGAACGCUGGCGGCGGGCCUAAUACAUGCAAGUCGAGCGAACAGACGGUGAGCUUGCUCCUCUAACGGUAGCGGGUGACGGGUGAGUAAGACGUAGAUAGGCUACUUCUAAUACGUGGAGAAUUUCGUGGGGCCGGUUCUGAUACCGGCGCAUAUAUUCUACCGCAGAAAGCAAGAGUUAUUCGCGCUUUUGGUGAUACUUAUAGAUGGUGCCGCGUCGGAUUAGCUAGUUGGUAAGGUAACGGCUUACCAAGGCGACGAUGCGUAGCCGACCUGAGAGGGUGAUCGGCCACACUGGAACUGAGACACGGUCCAGACUCCUACGGGAGGCAGCAGUAGGGAAUCUUCGGCAAUGGGCGAAAGCCUGACGGAGCAACGCCGCGUGAGUGAUGAAGGUCUUCGGAUCGUAAAACUCUGUUAUUAGGGAAGAACAACUGUGUAAGUAACUACCGCCGUUUUGACGGUACCUAAUGAGAAAGCCCCGGCUAACUACGUG